Molecule: ribosomal RNA, 21 nt
Filed under: Chamaedoris auriculata
Lineage: Eukaryota; Viridiplantae; Chlorophyta; Ulvophyceae; Cladophorales; Boodleaceae
Description: partial 18S ribosomal RNA
Source: RNAcentral
CUGCGGAGGGAUCCAUAGCAA